GAAGAAGAGUAGAGGAAGACAACGCUACGACUUUCUAUUUCUCUAUUCUACCCCCACUCUCGUGCCUUUUAGCUUCUGUGCCUGUUUGCUCGAGUUGAACGAGCCUAACGAGGAACGAUAAGAAAAACGUCCGAGCUUUUACAAGAUAAUCUAGAAUAAACGUUGUGCUAUAUUCGAGAGGAUCUUAUCGUACGAUCAUCCUACUUUAUGCACGAGAUAUAUGUACGUAUCUAUGUAUAUCUUCUUUAACCAUGUGACUUCACUCCCACAGGUAUAUCAAAGUAGAGUAAGGAAAGAUUUAGAAAAGAAGAACAAAAAAGAAAAGAAGGAACUUUUGUACGUCGAACAUAGUUACGAUGCCUAUAUUAUAUUCGCAAUAUUACGAUUAAUACUGUAUCUAUAUACGUACGUAUGUAUGUGCGAUAUAAUUGGAUAAAGUAAUUGAAAAAAAUGUCCAAAUGCUUGGCAACACGAAAAAAAAAGGAAUACAUACAUAUGUGAUUACACGUUUUAUCUGAAAACGAGAUUAAAUACGUAAGAUUGAAUCGUUGCAGUGGACGUUUCGAAACUGGGAGAAUGUGUCGUUUAACAGAUACCUACGUCGUCGGUCCAACAACACGCGGCGUACACGAUCGACGGACUUUUGUUCAACUGGAGAAGCGUCAGCAACAGCAGCAGCAGCAGCAGCAGCAGCACUAACACCAGCACUAGUAGUAACGAGAACAAGGAUGACGACGCUGACGUCGACGUCGACGUCGACGUCGACGUCGACUACGACGACGACGACGACGACGACGACGACGUCAACGACGACAACAACGAUAACGUCGGUGUCUCUGACUGCACUCUCUGCAAUGUCUGCUGCUGCUGCUGCUGCUGCUGCUAUCAGUGAUGGUGGUGGUAGUAUUAACGAUGGUGUUGGUGUUGGUGUUGGUGUUGGUGUUGGCUUGGUUUGGUGUUGGAGUUGCUGCUGGUGCAGUAGUAGCUCUCACGGAACAGACGAAUAUAGUUGGACCGGUGCAAACAUUACCGUGUCGAAGUUAACCGUGUAAACGCAUCUGCUUUGUACUUGCGGUAUGCCUAGUCGAGAGCCAACCGCCGAUUAUAUCGUCUCUUCUGUUGAAAUUCGUGGAUUCUUGGCUGAAAUGCCAUGUGCCGCGAAACUCUCGCCCGGAAUCGUACGAUAGAAACAAAGUUUACACCUUCGCGGACCGUUAAAAUGGAUUCAACCCUGGUAACGUACGUACGAAACAAUCGAAACGGAAGUGUUUCGUUACAAAUGGUACGAGAAGAAUAUAAUGUAAUAUGAUUACUCUGUGUACGUGUGUAUGAGAAAGAGAAAGAAAGACAUAGAUAUAGAGAAAGAGAACAAAGAGAGGAAGAGACAUAAAGAUGUCCGAUCCAAAAACGAAACGUCUCAUUACAUUCGGUCACUUUUAUCGAAAAGAAGAAAAAAAAGAGCAAAGAAAAGAAGAAACAAGAACGAAAAAAAAAAAUUGUCUUGCGAUAGAACUCGUGGGAAGCCGAUAGAAGGGAACAACGCCCUCGACCAUGCCACCUGCACUACAUCGAGGCAUUCGUCCGUUGGCAAACAACGUAACAGAUAAAAGUAGUUGAAGCUGGAAUAGAUAUUUCCAGCUGUUCCGGACAAGUUCCUGACUAAUUCAAGAAUAAAGAUCUUAUUUGGCAACGAUAGAUAUCGUUCUCACGGCUGACGCAGCAUCCAUCUAACGAUAAAUAGAUUUCUACGAUCAAGAGAAACGAGACAACGUGAGCGAAAUCGUUUGGCGGUUAUUAAUUCGUUCCUAUUCUACGACCAUAAGCGCGUUACGAGCCAAGUUUCCGCGGUCUCGCCGUGCGACUCGUAACUCAUGCAACGGCAAACUUAAGACGUGCGACAGACGCCUUGAUAUCUCGAGUUAUAUUCAGUAAUUACAGAAGGAGAAAGAGAGA
This is a long non-coding RNA of Vespula vulgaris, 1953 nucleotides long. RefSeq lists it as uncharacterized. Lineage: Eukaryota; Metazoa; Arthropoda; Insecta; Hymenoptera; Vespidae. The transcript has 4 exons. The record is from RefSeq and is a predicted model, not a curated record.